ACACGUAGUCAACUUACCCUAUGGACGAGGAUAAUCUCGGGAAACUGAGCAUAAUACUCGAUAGAUCAUAAUGCCUGGAAUGGUUUAUGGUUGAAAUGAUUCGUCGCCAUAGGAUGGGACUGCGGCCUAUCAGCUUGUUGGUGAGGUAAUGGCCCACCAAGGCGAUUACAGGUACGGGCUCUGAGAGGAGAAGCCCGGAGAUGGGUACUGAGACAAGGACCCAGGCCCUAUGGGGCGCAGCAGGCGAGAAAACUUUGCAAUGUGCGAAAGCACGACAAGGUUAAUCCGAGUGAUUUCUGCUAAAGAAAUCUUUUGCAAGUCAUAAAACCACUAGUGAAUAAGGGGUGGGCAAGUUCUGGUGUCAGCCGCCGCGGUAAAACCAGCACCUCAAGUGGUCAGGAGGAUUAUUGGGCCUAAAGCAUCCGUAGCCGGCUCUGUAAGUUUUCGGUUAAAUCCAUGUGCUCAACGCAUGGGCUGCCGAAAAUACUGCAUAGCUAGGGAGUGGGAGAGGUAGACGGUACUCGGUAGGAAGGGGUAAAAUCCUUUGAUCUAUUGAUGACCACCUGUGGCGAAGGCGGUCUACCAGAACACGUUCGACGGUGAGGGAUGAAAGCUGGGGGAGCAAACCGGAUUAGAUACCCGGGUAGUCCCAGCUGUAAACGAUGCAGACUCGGUGAUGCGUUGGUUUAUUGCCAGUGCAGUGCCGCAGGGAAGCCGUUAAGUCUGCCGCCUGGGAAGUACGUACGCAAGUAUGAAACUUAAAGGAAUUGGCGGGGGAGCUCCACAAGGGGUGAAGCCUGCGGUUCAAUUGGAUUCAACG
Molecule: ribosomal RNA, 820 nt
Filed under: uncultured Nitrososphaerota archaeon
Lineage: Archaea; Thermoproteati; Nitrososphaerota
Description: bacterial SSU rRNA
Rfam family: Archaeal small subunit ribosomal RNA
Source: RNAcentral